This 497-nucleotide ribosomal RNA is filed under the name uncultured bacterium. RNAcentral's name for it is "partial 16S ribosomal RNA". It matches the Rfam family "Bacterial small subunit ribosomal RNA", at positions 28 to 507 of the family's 1533-position model. The record is from RNAcentral.
GAUGAACGCUGGCGGCGUGCCUAAUACAUGCAAGUCGAGCGAACAGACGAGGAGCUUGCUCCUCUGACGUUAGCGGCGGACGGGUGAGUAACACGUGGAUAACCUACCUAUAAGACUGGGAUAACUUCGGGAAACCGGAGCUAAUACCGGAUAAUAUAUUGAACCGCAUGGUUCAUUAGUGAAAGACGGUUUUGCUGUCACUUAUAGAUGGAUCCGCGCCGCAUUAGCUAGUUGGUAAGGUAACGGCUUACCAAGGCAACGAUGCGUAGCCGACCUGAGAGGGUGAUCGGCCACACUGGAACUGAGACACGGUCCAGACUCCUACGGGAGGGAGCAGUAGGGAAUCUUCCGCAAUGGGCGAAAGCCUGACGGAGCAACGCCGCGUGAGUGAUGAAGGUCUUCGGAUCGUAAAACUCUGUUAUUAGGGAAGAACAAAUGUGUAAGUAACUAUGCACGUCUUGACGGUACCUAAUCAGAAAGCCACGGCUAACUACGUG